This 497-nucleotide ribosomal RNA is filed under the name uncultured bacterium. RNAcentral's name for it is "partial 16S ribosomal RNA". It matches the Rfam family "Bacterial small subunit ribosomal RNA", at positions 28 to 507 of the family's 1533-position model. The record is from RNAcentral.
GAUGAACGCUGGCGGCGUGCUUAAUACAUGCAAGUCGAACGAACGGACGCGAAUCUUGCUUCGCUGAUGUUAGCGGCGGGCGGGUGAGUAACACGUGGAAAACCUACCUAUAAGACUGGGAUAACUUCGGGAAACCGGAUAAUAUACCGGAUGAUAUUUUGAACCGCAGGGUGCAAAAGUGAAAGUCGGUCUUGCUGUCACUUCUAGAGGGUUACGGGCUGCAUUAGCUAGUUGGUAGGGUAACGGCUUACCAAGGCAACGAUGCAUAGCCGACCUGAGAGGGUGAUCGGCCACAUUGGAGCUUAGACACGGACCAGACGCCUACGGGAGGGAGCAGUCGGGAAUCUUCCGCAAUGGGCGAGAGCCUGACGGAGCAACCCCGCGUGAGUGAUGAAGGUCUUCGGAUCGUAAUACUCUGUUAUUAGGGAAGAACAGAUUUGUAAGUAGCUGUGGCGAUCUUGACGGUACCGAAUCAAAAAGCCCCGGCUAACUACGUG